GGCCGGAUAGGUCGGAGAGCCCAAAGCGGACCUGCGAAACAGGCGUGAGGGGAAGUGAAGCGCGACAAGGAGAUGAGCGAGAGAGAGAGAGAGAGAGAGAGGAGGGAAGGUGACGGUGGACGUGAGGUGGGGGCCUCAGCUUGAUCAAGCAACAUACAAGAAUCGCCAGCGUCUGUACCUCUCUGAGCAGUUCAAUGAAGAAACUCAUUCUCCAUUUGUUAAGGAGUACAAAACAAUUAUACAUCCAGGGGAGGUCAACAGAAUUAGGGAGCUUCCUCAGUACAGCAAAAUAGUUGCAACACAUGCCGACAGUCCUUAUGUAGUGAAAAUAUAUUGUUGCGGUACCAUUUUGAGUUUAGUUCACUUUCAUUGGGCUUUCUCUUAUUUCUCAAAAUUCUUAUGAUGGUUCUUAUCUGGGAUGUUGAGCUGCAACCUAAUCAUCAUCCUAUGUUAGGAGCUACUGAAUCUCGUCCAGAUUUGACAUUUUACCAUAGUUUUGCAUACUAUAGGGAAGGACAAUGUUGCAGAUGCGCAGAAGGUACUUCCUGUGUGAUUUUUUUCAUAUGACUUCAUACUGUAUGAUUCUUGAACAUUAUUCACCUUAUUUGUCCAAAUUUGAGGUUUCUAAAUAUUUGUUUCACUUUUCUGGGUUAUGUUGCUUUUUCUUCCUCCUAUAUUUGCCAUGCUUGAUUAGACAUUUUUCUGUUUUAUGACGAACUUAGAAGAAGUUGUUUGUCUGUCUCAAUAUUAUUUUGUUUUUAUACUGACAACACCUUUUAACUACAUUGAAGUGAACGGGAACUUUGUAGUGUAGGCGGUUGGCAGCAGUCCAGUAUUAUUUAGUAGAGCCUUGUUCACCACUGGGUAAGUCCAAUGAUGAUUUUACCUGCGGUACAGUUCAUAUCAGAUCGAGCUAAACUUGUUUUGCCAGAAUGCAAUUCUAGGAUGGUUUUACCUGUUAAGUAUCAUUUAGUAGAGCCUUGUUCACUGCCAGGUAAGUUUCAUUAUGAUGAUUUUCCCUAUGGUACAGUUCAUAUCGGAUCGAACUGGAUGAAAUCACAUGGUCAACAUGUCGAUGAUUUUCGGAAUGGUAUACACUGGCCUGCACCGACCUGUAUGGGCAAUGUUUAAAACCUUGCAGCAUUCCGAAUGCAUGGGACUUAAAUGUUCCAUUGGUGCUGAUUGAACAUUUUAGUUUUCUAAGGGUAAUAAACAAUUAUACUUCAUUUGUCCUAAAGUUUGGUAUCAUUUGAUUGUGGCAAUGCAUUGCCCCUUUAGUGAUGCACACAAGCAUGAGAUGAUGGUAAGCACUCGAAGCCUUCUUCACUUGUUUACACGCUGCUUUUAUCCCUAUUAUAACUUUUGUGGUUGUUCAUUGUAGGGUCAUCACCUCAUGACCCCGACCCUAGACUGUGCUUGGGACACUUCAAUCGCAAUGUUGGCUCUCCCGAAGGGCAAGCCAAUGCCUCCAUGAGGCUCUCAAAGCUACAACAGCAAUUGGAGGUAGAGAAACAUGCGACAUAUGAUGCUCAGGCCGAUCAAUGUUGUUACCAUGACAUGGCAUUGAUGUCCUAGUUUGAAGUCGAUGAUCUCCACCAUGUGGUGAAGGACCACUGUGGACAACUUGAAGAUGAAGAGGCUCAUCGUCUCGACUACAAGACCCAAGGGGGCAUAUUUCGAAGGACACAUGAAAUAUUAGUAAUGUCUUGGAGUAUUGAAAUGUAUUAGCUGAAACAUGGAGCCCAUUAAAAAUUAUCCAUUUAAUAAAAAUAUAAAAUCUAAAUUGCAACA
Long non-coding RNA from Musa acuminata AAA Group (dessert banana), 1791 nucleotides. RefSeq lists it as uncharacterized. Lineage: Eukaryota; Viridiplantae; Streptophyta; Magnoliopsida; Zingiberales; Musaceae. The transcript has 6 exons. The record is from RefSeq and is a predicted model, not a curated record.